GGACAAUGGCUGCAGGCCAAAACACACACAUUCCAGUGUUUACGACCGUAAGGUCCUGUCUUUGGGUGGCGUUUGUGAGGAAUCCUCUCAUCAGUCCAAUUGGCCUCCAGCAAGCCAGGAGGAACACUCCGUGCUCUCAAUGCCCGAUUCGCAGUUCUGCUACAUUGUUCAUGAACCCAGUGAAAGAUGUUCACAGUGAACUCACCACCAUGUAUGGAGCUCCAUCCUUCAAAAUGGCUGAGUACAGAAUUGGGAAAGUGUCGUGGAGAAGCUGACUCAGAGGCCUGACCCCACUGACCCUACCAACCCAGCCAACCCAGGUACCACCUGCCUCCAGAACUCCUAUGUGCCAGAAUUCUAUUGUUUAAACCACUUUCCAAUGGCUAUUCUGUUACUUGCAGCUGAAAGAAUCCUCAUUAAGUCACCAGAAAUAUGAAAAUCUUCUAAUCUGAAAGUAUGCAGAUAGGUAGAGAAAAGAAAGAACAUGGACUUGAGACUUGGACCUAGAGGUACAUCUUGGCUCCCUCACUUAGAAGUCCAAUUUCAUCUACUGAUCUGUCUCCAACCUGGACUGUAGCCACUCGAAGGCAGGGAGCAUGUCUAGCUGUUUCUGUUUGGAGAGGGAGUAUAUCAGAGUCUGUUACAAACAUAAACAUCUUGACCAGAAUUCAGACUCUGGCACUUACUAGUCAUGCAGCCUUGAGCAAGUCAUUUAAUCUAACUAAAAAUAAAACAAAAAAAUAUUAAAUAAGGAAAACAGUACCUACUUUAUGGACUUGUUUUAAGAUGGACUCAGGUAAUCCACACAGUAAACUCCUUACCAUAGUGCCUACCAGGCAAAGAAUAAAACAGAAUUUUCACGGCACUACAUUCUUGUGGUGAAAGGUGGAGGUAAGAACAGAAAUGAAUAAAAAUACGUGAAGUCGUGAUAAAAGCAACGAAGACAAGUAAAACAAAGGACAAAGAGAAAACGAAAGGGGAACUAUGUUCAAGUGCCUCUUUGACAGGGGGCCUUUGGGCAGAGAUCUUAGUGAAGUGAGUGAAGCACGUCAAUAUCUGAGGAAAGAGUAUUUUGGGCAAAGGUGAAAGCAAGAGGAAGGCCCUGAGCAGAAGGCGUGCUUAGCAUAUUUGCAGAGUAGUGAGGAGGCCAGCUUGGCUGGACUAACAAAGGGGAAGAAAAAGUUACAUUUAUUCUGGUUUUAAAUUUUCAUUCUAACUGCCAGUUGAAAAAUAAAUUGGGGCUCAGGGCAAGUGGCAGCAUAAAGACCAGGUAGGAGGUUAAUGAAGUCAUCAGGCCAGAGAUAACCAAAGAACCUGAGCAUCUUGUUAUAUGCAAAUGUGUAAGUUAUGGGGAAAAAAAUGCACCCACCUAUUCACCCCCACACACACCCAUGCUCAAAUGUUCAGGUCCCCCUUCAACACUCAUUUGGGAAGACUGACAGCUGGAGGGAACUGUUUUCUUCAGAAGGGAGUUGUCUGGUUAGGUGUUUAACCAGAGAUAUAAUGCUGUAAAGAUGGUAAGAAGUAGGUUCCAGAUAUAUAUUUUAAGGUAGUGGCAAUAUUUGCUGAUGAUUAGAUAUGGGAAAGAAAGAAAAAAAGGAAGGAAGGAAGGGAGGGAGGG
Long non-coding RNA from Aotus nancymaae (Ma's night monkey), 1621 nucleotides. The record is from Ensembl. Lineage: Eukaryota; Metazoa; Chordata; Mammalia; Primates; Aotidae.